Molecule: ribosomal RNA, 468 nt
Filed under: uncultured bacterium
Lineage: Bacteria
Description: partial 16S ribosomal RNA
Rfam family: Bacterial small subunit ribosomal RNA
Source: RNAcentral
GACGAACGCUGGCGGCGGGCUUAACACAUGCAAGUCGAACGGAAAGUCCCUUCUUUUGUGGGGUUCUCGAGUGGCGACCGUGUUCGUAACCCUUUAGUCACCUGCCCUUCACUUUCGUUUAACUUCCGGAAACUUCGCCUACUCCCUGAUCGUAUCUCCUCCUGCAUGGUGGGUCUUGUAAAUUUUCGGCUGUUGGGGAUGUACUCUCUGCUUAUCAUCUUCUUUGUGGGGUAGUGGCUUACCCAGGCUUUGACGGGUAGCCGGCCUGAGAGGGUGACCGGCAACAUGGGGACUGAGAGACGGCACAGACGCAGAAGGGAGGCAGCAGUGGGGAAUAUGGCCCAAUGGGGGGAAGUCUGAUCAAGAAACGAAGCGUGUGGGAUGACGGCCUUUGGGGUGUAAAACGCUUUCGGAUGUGACGAAGCGUGAGUGACGGUAAUGGGUAAAGAAGAACCGGCUAACUAAGUG